GAACUGAAGAGUUUGAUCCUGGCUCAGAUUGAACGCUGGCGGCAUGCCUUACACAUGCAAGUCGAACGGCAGCGGGGGUAGCUUGCUACCUGCCGGCGAGUGGCGAACGGGUGAGUAAUACAUCGGAACGUGCCCUGUAGUGGGGGAUAACUAGUCGAAAGACUAGCUAAUACCGCAUACGACCUGAGGGUGAAAGUGGGGGACCGCAAGGCCU
This 214-nucleotide ribosomal RNA is filed under the name Ralstonia pseudosolanacearum. Its description in RNAcentral is "partial 16S ribosomal RNA". It matches the Rfam family "Bacterial small subunit ribosomal RNA", at positions 1 to 210 of the family's 1533-position model. Lineage: Bacteria; Pseudomonadati; Pseudomonadota; Betaproteobacteria; Burkholderiales; Burkholderiaceae. The record is from RNAcentral.